UACAGAGGGGGCAAGCGUUGUUCGGAAUUACUGGGCGUAAAGGGCGCGUAGGCGGCCUGCUAAGUCGGACGUGAAAUCCCCGGGCUCAACCCGGGAACUGCGUCCGAUACUGGUUAGCUUGAAUCCGGGAGAGGGAUGCGGAAUUCCAGGUGUAGCGGUGAAAUGCGUAGAUAUCUGGAGGAACACCGGUGGCGAAGGCGGCAUCCUGGACCGGCAUUGACGCUGAGGCGCGAAAGCCAGGGGAGCAAACGGG
RNAcentral lists this ribosomal RNA (253 nucleotides) under uncultured bacterium. RNAcentral's name for it is "partial 16S ribosomal RNA". It matches the Rfam family "Bacterial small subunit ribosomal RNA", at positions 524 to 776 of the family's 1533-position model. The record is from RNAcentral.